GCAGCAGUGAGGAAUAUUGGUCAAUGGGCGGGAGCCUGAACCAGCCAAGUAGCGUGAAGGACGACGGCCCUACGGGUUGUAAACUUCUUUUAUAAGGGAAUAAAGUUCGCCACGUGUGGUGUUUUGUAUGUACCUUAUGAAUAAGCAUCGGCUAAUUCCGUGCCAGCAGCCGCGGUAAUACGGAAGAUCCGAGCGUUAUCCGGAUUUAUUGGGUUUAAAGGGAGCGUAGGCGGGCUUUUAAGUCAGCGGUCAAAUGUCGUGGCUCAACCGUCAAGCCGUUGAAACUGUAAGCCUUGAGUCUGCACAGGGCACAUGGAAUUCGUGGUGUAGCGGUGAAAUGCUUAGAUAUCACGAAGAACUCCGAUCGCGAAGGCAUUGUGCCGGGGCAUAACUGACGCUGAGGCUCGAAAGUGCGGGUAUCAAACAGGAUUAGAUACCCUGGUAGUCCGCACGGUAAACGAUGAAUGCUCGCUAUGGGCGAUAUAUUGUCCGUGGCCAAGCGAAAGCGUUAAGCAUUCCACCUGGGGAGUACGCCGGCAACGGUGAAACUCAAAGGAAUUGACGGGGGCCCGCACAAGCGGAGGAACAUGUGGUUUAAUUCGAUGAUACGCGAGGAACCUUACCCGGGCUUGAAUUGCAGGUGCAUGAGUCAGAGACGGCUCUUUCCUUCGGGACUCCUGUGAAGGUGCUGCAUGGUUGUCGUCAGCUCGUGCCGUGAGGUGUCGGCUUAAGUGCCAUAACGAGCGCAACCCUUCUCCCCAGUUGCCAUCGGGUAAUGCCGGGCCCUCUGGGGACACUGCCAUCGUAAGAUGCGAGGAAGGUGGGGAUGACGUCAAAUCAG
This 841-nucleotide ribosomal RNA is filed under the name human gut metagenome. Its description in RNAcentral is "bacterial SSU rRNA". It matches the Rfam family "Bacterial small subunit ribosomal RNA", at positions 348 to 1193 of the family's 1533-position model. The record is from RNAcentral.